RNAcentral lists this ribosomal RNA (277 nucleotides) under uncultured Stenotrophomonas sp. RNAcentral describes it as "partial 16S ribosomal RNA". It matches the Rfam family "Bacterial small subunit ribosomal RNA", at positions 283 to 536 of the family's 1533-position model. Lineage: Bacteria; Pseudomonadati; Pseudomonadota; Gammaproteobacteria; Lysobacterales; Lysobacteraceae. The record is from RNAcentral.
GUAGCUGGUCUGAGAGGAUGAUCAGCCACACUGGAACUGAGACACGGUCCAGACUCCUACGGGAGGCAGCAGUGGGGAAUAUUGGACGAUGGGCGCAAGCCUGAUCCAGCCAUACCGCGUGGGUGAAGAAGGCCUUCGGGUUGUAAAGCCCUUUUGUUGGGAAAGAAAAGCAGCCGGUUAAUACCCGGUUGUUCUGACGGUACCCUGGGAAUAAGCACCGGCUAACUCCGUGCCAGCAGCCGCGGUAAUACCGUCCUGCACCAGCAGCCGCGGUAAU